This 348-nucleotide unclassified non-coding RNA is filed under the name soil metagenome. RNAcentral describes it as "partial contains 5.8S ribosomal RNA, internal transcribed spacer 2, and large subunit ribosomal RNA". The stretch from base 1 to 120 matches the Rfam family "5.8S ribosomal RNA", at positions 35 to 154 of the family's 154-position model. The record is from RNAcentral.
GAUGAAGAACGUAGCGAAAUGCGAUAAGUAGUGUGAAUUGCAGAAUUCAGUGAAUCAUCGAAUCUUUGAACGCACAUUGCGCCCGCCAGUAUUCUGGCGGGCAUGCCUGUCUGAGCGUCAUUUCAACCCUCAUGCCCCUAGGGCGUGGUGUUGGGGAUCGGCCAGCGCCCGCGAGGGACGGCCGGCCCCUAAAUCUAGUGGCGGACCCGUCGUGGCCUCCCCUGCGAAGUAGUGAUAUUCCGCAUAGGAGAGCGACGAGCCCCUGCCGUUAAACCCCCAACUUUCUAAGGUUGACCUCAGAUCAGGUAGGAAUACCCGCUGAACUUAAGCAUAUCAAUAAGCGGAGGA